This 52-nucleotide microRNA precursor is filed under the name Neotoma lepida (desert woodrat). Its description in RNAcentral is "mir-1302 microRNA precursor family". It matches the Rfam family "mir-1302 microRNA precursor family". Lineage: Eukaryota; Metazoa; Chordata; Mammalia; Rodentia; Cricetidae. The record is from Rfam by way of RNAcentral.
UUUUUAGCAUAAGUAUGUUCUAUGUGAUAUUUGGGAUGUACUUAUGCUGAAA